GUAGGGAAUAUUGGGCAAUGGAGGCAACUCUGACCCAGCCAUGCCGCGUGCAGGAUGACGGCCCUCUUGGUUGUAAACUGCUUUUAUACGGGAAGAAAAAAUACUACGUGUAGUAUACUGACGGUACCGUAAGAAUAAGGAUCGGCUAACUCCGUGCCAGCAGCCGCGGUAAUACGGAGGAUCCAAGCGUUGUCCGGAUUUAUUGGGUUUAAAGGGUGCGUAGGCGGAUCUUUAAGUCAGUGGUGAAAGCCUGCAGCUUAACUGUAGAAUUGCCAUUGAAACUGAAGAGCUUGAAUGUGGUUAAAGUAGGCGGAAUGGAUCAUGUAGCGGUGAAAUGCUUAGAUAUGAAACAGAACACCGAUAGCGAAGGCAGCUUGAUGAACCAUUAUUGACGCUGAGGCACGAAAGCGUGGGGAGCGAACAGGAUUAGAUACCCUAGUAGUCC
Molecule: ribosomal RNA, 445 nt
Filed under: uncultured bacterium
Lineage: Bacteria
Description: partial 16S ribosomal RNA
Rfam family: Bacterial small subunit ribosomal RNA
Source: RNAcentral